Molecule: ribosomal RNA, 498 nt
Filed under: uncultured bacterium
Lineage: Bacteria
Description: partial 16S ribosomal RNA
Rfam family: Bacterial small subunit ribosomal RNA
Source: RNAcentral
GACGAACGCUGGCGGCGUGCCUAAUACAUGCCAGUCGAGCGGACGGAUGGGAGCUUGCUCCCAGCCCGUCAGCGGCGGACGGGUGAGUAACACGUGGGCAACCUGCCUGUAAGACUGGGAUAACUCCGGGAAACCGGGGCUAAUACCGGAUAACUCUUUCCCUCACAUGAGGGAAAGCUGAAAGAUGGCAUCUCGCUAUCACUUACAGAUGGGCCCGCGGCGCAUUAGCUAGUUGGUGAGGUAACGGCUCACCAAGGCGACGAUGCGUAGCCGACCUGAGAGGGUGAUCGGCCACACUGGGACUGAGACACGGCCCAGACUCCUACGGGAGGCAGCAGUAGGGAAUCUUCCGCAAUGGACGAAAGUCUGACGGAGCAACGCCGCGUGAGUGAUGAAGGUGUUCGGAUCGUAAAACUCUGUUGUCAGGGAAGAACAAGUACCGGAGUAACUGCCGGUACCUUGACGGUACCUGACCAGAAAGCCACGGCUAACUACGUG